RNAcentral lists this transfer RNA (64 nucleotides) under Geukensia demissa (ribbed mussel). RNAcentral describes it as "tRNA-Cys". Lineage: Eukaryota; Metazoa; Mollusca; Bivalvia; Mytilida; Mytilidae. The record is from RNAcentral.
UGCUUGAUAGUUAAAUUUAUAACGGUAGAUUGCAAAUCUAAAAUUGUGUUGUGUACUCAAGUUU